Molecule: transfer RNA, 55 nt
Filed under: Acanthemblemaria crockeri (browncheek blenny)
Lineage: Eukaryota; Metazoa; Chordata; Actinopteri; Blenniiformes; Chaenopsidae
Description: partial tRNA-Pro
Source: RNAcentral
UUUUUUCAUUUUUUUGGUGCACCGAGUUCCGCCCCCUUUCCAUUUUUUUGGUGCG